Macaca mulatta (Rhesus monkey) is the source of this 6877-nucleotide non-coding RNA. The record is from RefSeq and is a predicted model, not a curated record. Lineage: Eukaryota; Metazoa; Chordata; Mammalia; Primates; Cercopithecidae.
AAGGCUGUUCUAGUGGCAGUGAGGCUGGCUGUACAUGUCCAUGUCAGUCACCGCGCCUGGCCCCACUUUCCUCUCAUUUCUAAGUGUACUUUUGUGGCAUUUAAACAGCCGAUGGUGACAUUGGUGUUGAGCGGUGUUGCUUCCACAGCCCACACUGAAGGCAUUGGGAGGGACCCAGGAGGGCACAAGGUGUUUUAAGACCCUUUCCCACCUGCCAAACACCUUUUGCUGUUGGCUUUUGGUUUUAUUUUGUUUUGCGAAACAGGGGAAUAGUGACUUAAGGACUCGGCUUUCUGCCUUGUGCCUUGUGCCAGAGAGCCACAGUACACUGCUUUUAUUUUAUUUUUUGGUAAGACUUGCAGUGAGAAGGACUGAGAGAUAGCUUUCUUUAAAAAAAAAACAUUUCCUUUUCUUUUAAAUAGAUAAGUGAUCAUUUAACACACGGGUGUUAAGUUCAUUCUUGCUGCAAAAGAAGGCUAUUGUAUCUCCUGACCCUGAAAGCAAGAUGAAGUCACUGAGACACCAAAGGUUAAUUGCUUGCCCAAAGCCAUGUGGCAACUUGAACUGUGUCUCUUUAAAUCUACUGAGGAAGAUAUUCCUUCUGGCCCACAGGAUGCCAAAAUGACUUGGUGAUUUAUUUAUGCAGCACUUGGCAGCCUAUAGUCCAGAUUGUGGCUGAAGCUGAAUUUUAUGAGCCUUCCCCUAGAAGUAUUCGAAACCCAGGGGAUUGUGGUGAAAAAGACAAACACUGCCCCGUCUCGCCCGGAACAGACAUUUCAGAGGAGGGAGAUGGAUGAUAAAUAGGACAUCAUGAGGAUUAAAUGAGGAAAAAUAAAAACCAGCACACAGCAUCUCCUAAGUGCUCAAAACUGCAAGCUCUCUUACCUCUUGACGCUUGAGGACCUUGCCUUCUAAAUACAUCUCCGUCUCAUACAUCACUUCAAGUCACAGAAAUAUUUUUUUCUCCUGUGCCUGGGAAGAAGUGCUGAGUGGACAGCCCUGGUGGCUUCUGUUUAUACUGUGAGCAACUGAGACACAAAUCAGUACCAGGGUUAUCUUGAUUUCUGCCUGGAAUAAUAUUGUCCUGCAAGGACCCACUCUGGGGACCCAGAAGGUGAUAUACCCCUUUCUAUCACAGGACACUGGAUUUUGUGGAUGCUCCUUGGACAUACUGGAAUGCACCUUGGGUAGCCCAUGGAUCAUUUUCCCCAGUAUGAAGCAUGGGAGGGCUGGAAAAUGAGCUCAUGAGCUGGUGGAGCCAGCACAACAAGCUGGAGCCAGGCUAACCAGGACAUUUCUUCUCAUGGCAGAAGCAGAAGAAGGGCCAGCCCAUCUACAUAAGCACAUUUGCAGGCUCUGCUUAUAUCAAGUCUACUAGUAUUCUAUCGAGCCAAGCAAGUCACAGGGCCAAACCCCACGUCAAUGAAGCAGAGGUACCGCCUCCAUGGAGGGACAAAGAUAUCCUUUUUAGCCACGUGUUUAAUUCUUCAAUGUCAAUAUUUGCAGAAAACAUAAGCACAGCAUGAUAUUGCCUUGGAGUUGUUGAUUAAUCCCAUUCGGAAGCUUCGGAGUCUGGCUGGGCUGUUAUCUUGUGCUCCCUGGAACUCUGACUGGAUGAUUUCUGAAGUCGAGCUGGAGCCCAGCUAGAGGGAAGGUGAAACUUCCCGUCAGCAUGCAGGGCCUUCUGCACCCACGCUGCCACAGCCACCGCAUUACCAGCUCCUGCCAGUCUGAGGAGCAAGAGGCUGGCAUGAAGAAUCAGUUCCAUUCUUUCCUCCCUAAAUUUAGAAAAAGCCUGUUUUGUAAAGCUUUCUUCAGUGUUUCAAGACAAAAAAAAAAAAAAAAAAAAAAAAAAAAGCAGUUGCACAACAUGCAUAUCUUCUCCUGGCCUGCAGCUCCAAGUAUAGUUUUACUAUGGAUAUGCAGCUGGGAGCGAGUGUCCAGCCAACAGCCCGUGUCUCAGGCCCUGCCAGGGGAUGAAUCAAUUAGCAAGAGAAGCAAUGAUGCAAAUACUCCGAGGUCACUUGGGAUGCUGUUUGCCUUUUUGAUAGAGAAAGCACGCCAUAAAUAACAUCACACCUCAGGAAAUCAUUCCAGGAGGCCUCGAUGCCGGCAGGGCUGCUGCCGGGGACGGAAGGAAUCGUUUGCUCAUUGUGUCUACUUCCCCUAGCUCAGUCAAUGGGAGAUUUGUAGUAAAAUCAAAGUAUUUAAAAGGAGGACAGUUGUGGUAACAGAGGCAUGUUUAGUAAUUUUUUUAGUACCAGAACCUGUGAUUUAUGACCCAGAGUUACAGCCAACUUUAUUACAAAAAUGACUUCACCCAUAAUAACCUUAUUCAGGGCCCUCUGGAGAAUGAUGUAGUACCCAACAGCGUUAUAAUCUAGCAAAUAUUCAAACACAGUUCCCGCCUCCGCCUCAUUUUCAACCAACCCCUCAGAAGCAGGCUUCCCCCUUUACCUGCUGGGAGAAGUGGGGUCCCGGGCAAGGCUUUGUGCUCUGUGUGUGGGAGUUUGCCUGGAUCAAGCAUUUCUACUAAGCCAGGAUAGAAAGCCGCCUCCUGGGGUCUCAGUCAUAUCUUGUCCAACCUUGUGCCCUGAGGAGUAAUGAGCAGAAGACACCCACUCACCCUUCAUUUCCUCUCUGUGCUGAAACUUCUUCCUUCCCUGUGUUCCCGCACUCCUCCAGAGCUCAGAUCCCCACCCCCUGAAAGGAGCUCCAGUAAGCUCCCUGACAUUUUUAAUUGCCAUGGUAACUGAGGGCUGCUCUAAAACCACCAGGGCUGGGUGUCCAAGCAGGGUCCCCUGGGCGUACCGGGAUCUAGGAACUAGCCCUCCAUCUUAUUAAAUUCCAGUGUCAGUUCCUAGCAAUUGUUUUAAAUUUACACCCUCAGAGUGGCUUAGUGGGAUUACAUGUCCAUUUGCAUUAAAACAGGUUUCUGUCAUUAAACUGCCAUACAAUAAGCUUCCUUGGGACAAAUUAAUGAGCUCUAAAUAUCAUCAAGUAGAAGUUCACUUCAAGACAGGGCAACAAGGAGGGGGGCGGAAGGAAGUGGCUGCUCAGAAUCUCAUGGCCCAGGAGAACCAUAAGUGCCAAGUAAAGAAGGGUCUUGUCCCGUUUCUUCACUGUACGAUAAGUGGUCCUGAUUUAGAGUCAACUGGGGAGAUUUGGCGAUAUUCUCCCUAUUCGCCAAAAUCCUAUAGCUCAUCUUCUCUUGUGCCCUCUUCCAAAUAUGACUUUACCCUUGACUUUGCUGAAAUUUGCUGAUGCAACACUGGCCUCUUGUCUCAGUGACAGUGUCUCAGCCUCGUUUUCUUUGUCCUGUUGUUCCUCUGUCCUUGAGGAACUUGUGUGCAUCCACGUGGCCUGGGAACAACACGCACACAACGCAGCACCACGUGUAGCUUGAACGAGUGCUCCCUAACUUUGUUAGUUCCCACAUACUUUGCUAAAAUGCAUGUAUGAUUGCUACUGAACUGUCUGGUCCUCAGACCUUAUCAGGACCCUGGAACAGGAGUCCUGAUCAGGACCACCUUUCCUAGUCAUCAGGAGCAGAAUAGGAACAGGGAACAGUUUCGCUUUUAAAACUGAAUUUGUCCUGCUCACAAGAAUCACCAGAGCUUGUCCUCACAAAUAAUAUGUGUGUCUAAGUAGAAAUUUUUCAUUAAAACCAAAUAAACCCCCAAACCUUCCCUUAUGUAAAGGAGAUAAGAAUGGCUGCUAGACAGACUUCUUGAUCCACAGAGGCUGUGAUCUCAUUUCUGUGUAGCCUUAACAGGGGACAGUAAUGUAUGAUUGAGACACUGCUAUAUUUAGGAAUGACAAGAUGAGCAUUAUUAAUAGCUUAAUUGACAUUAAGGCAAUUACCCCUACCCUUAUUACAGUUUGUAGAAUUACACAGAAAAUAUUGGCUGGGGCCUUUUUUUCCCUAGAGCUACCCAAGGAUACAGCAUUUUAUUUCAUGCCAGAUCCCAGCUUUGACAUUAGAUACUUAGCCAUAGAAUGAUUCCAGUAAAUCAUUAUAAAUGCAUUAUAAUAAAGAUGUUAUGAGCUAUCAGAUAUUAACCCCCAACCCCUAAAGAGAGAUAAAUAGUCCAGUUGCAUGAUUCCCACUUUUGUUUCAUAAGAAAUAAGCUUUUGCAAAGAGCAACUGACUAAUGAAUUAUAAAAUGGUGUGUUGAGCUCAGAUAAUUAAACAAUGCAUUUUAGUGUCUAGUGCAGGAUGAACACUAAAUCAUACACAAAUAAAAAAGGUAAAAAUCUGAGCCCCAAGCCUAACUCCUAUUUUUGAAUAACAUUAAGGUUGGUCUACAGUCCAGAAAUGCUUCAACUAUUUUAUCUGAUUAGAGGGGCAUAUCAAGUAUAAGAUCAAGGCACAGUAGGUAAACCAAACCAAGAGUCAGAACAAAAACUGUGAAGGUGCUAAUUUCAGAUAAGCCCUCAAGGUUAUUUUAAUGGAGAUUUUACAUGGAGAUUGCUUUUUCCCCCAAAGUGUUAAUGGGGCAAAAGUCUAGAAGGACCUGGAAGUUUUCAAGUUUCCUUAUACUUUAUGUUUUCUUUGAACUCAUAAUAAAGCAUAUUAGUGGGAACAGGAUCUAUGGUAUUGGUGGUGGUCUUAGCCUUAUAGUGUUGGAAAGACAAAUGCACAUCCUAAAAUCUUCUCUAGGUUGUGGAGGUGCAGGGAUGAGGAGGGGUUGGUUUGGGUUUCAACCAUUAUCCCCAGGUGGUGUUAUCACACCCAGCAAUAAUUCAUCUAGUGGUCAACCACAGAUCACCAUGACAUUUUCACCAGUGGUCCCCAGACAGGGCUGGUUUGCCAUUGGCUGCCAUUUCCUGGCAUGUCAUAGAUUUGCUGCGUGAUUUGAAGCCGUGCUUAAGCACAUCCUGAAUACAUUUUUUAGUCUUCCAGCAUCUCAAAGACAUGGUGACCACCUCAAGGUAGUCUCCUAUUUCUUCGUCAAAUAGCACGUCAUUAAGGACUGUGUGGCCAAAAUUACAGAUGGUCUUGGACUCUGUAUGGGCAAUGACCACCUGUGCUGGUAACCAAGGCUUCCCUGGAACACCUGGAAACAUACCAUGCAGCCAGUCCUCUCCUGUGCUCCAGUCAAGCUGAACCACACAGCCCGAUCCUCCCUCCACUUCCCUAGCUCCAUGUGUUAGCCACUGCAGGUUAAUUGAUCUAAGGCUUAUUUUCUUCAAAUAUAAAAUGAAGAUAGUAAUGCCUACCCAUAGGGUUGUGUGAACAUUAAAUGAGAUCAGUUAUGUAAAGAUCUAUGCAGUGCCUUUUACAGAGUAUGCCCACAAAUAAAUGUUACCUGUUUCAUUUUAGUUAUCUAUGUUUAGCUAUCUUUGUUUUUCCUAUCCUGCUUCUUUUUGCUCCACUAUACUCUUACAUCCUAAUUCUCUCAUACACACUUUGCUGUGUCUAGCACAGUGCUUUGCUUGUGGUGCACACUCUACAUGCUUGCUACCCUGAACAAUAUGACGGCAGUUACUAGUAACAGUUAAUGUUUUCUGACCACCUACAUGAGCCAGGCACUAUGCUAAGUAUCAUCGCUUCCUUUAAUUCUCACAAGCAUAUGAGACAAAUACUAUUUUAAUCCUCAUCUAUGGGAGAUUAAAGAUUAAAGAUGUUCUAUAACUUGCCCAAGGUCACACAGGCUCUUAAGUGGAUUGUCAAGAUCCAAACUCAGAACUGGUCUGGAUUUGAAAUCUCAGUUCUUAACUGGCACUGCGUCAGGCUGAUUUGUUAGCUUUUUCCUCUUUUAGACUGGGCCCUAAGGGAUCAGUCAUAAGCAUGUACCCACUCUUAGAUGAAUGACCCUACGAUCUUGAGUUUUUUUUUUUUUUUGAAGUUCCAGGAAGUCCAGAAGUGUAUGCUAACUCUAGUUUAUAGCUGUGCAAAAGUCACUUGUCUAAAAACUUCAGGGACAUUAUAUAAAACCAUCCAAAAAAAAAAACCUUAUUGCACACCCCAUAAAGUUAAUUUCACUUUGAAAGAAUGUGUUUGAGGGAACGGAUGCACUUGGCUAUGAAUUCAGGUUGGUGGCCACAAUAUAUGGAGCUGUGCUGUCAUCCUUGACACCCUGGCUUACUGGCAGCCUCGCUCCAACACACUGUCACAGGCGAGGGAUGGCCUCCCAGUAUUGACUCAGAACACUGAAGCCUCCUAAUGGUCCAAGUCUCACAAACCACACACCUCCCUUAAUUAAAAAAGUAAAUUAAAAGGAGUAUUUCAUCUUAGGGAUGAAUUAUCUUAGUAAUUUAAGAUUGACAUUUUAUUGGAUAAAAGGGCAUGCAUGAGUUUAUUUUAAAAUACUGCCUUCAUGAACAAGAAACCACAGAAAAGAUUAUCCUGAGGUUGCAAGGGGUUUGUAGAACCAGAGACACUCUCGCAAAAUAGCCACUGGAAGGGCUAGGUGUGAGAGGCCAGUUGCUGCAAAUCACAGGUCAGCCACUUCUACACUUGUCCUUCAAGCACAUCAACUGGACACUUGGAGUUUUCUAUACUCUUCAUUUCAAACUUGAUCAUCCUGAGUGCUGUGGUGGACACUACUAGUGUCACAAAGAGUGCAGCACCCUCUCCUUCCAGGUAUAUAAAGGCUGCACUGCUGGGCUCCUUUACAGUUGGACAGGCCAUGUAAUUUGUCUGUUGUAGUGAAGAGUUACUAUGUUUCACUUCUAAGCCAAAGCAUUUGAUUGUCAAUGUAAUACCCUCCAGCUCUCUCCUUCCCUGCAGAAGUGAUCUUGGAAGCAUGUGUUGAGAUGACAGAGUUCCCAAUAGCCUAGAUUCCUGAAUGACUUAGUGGAGCUGAGUCCUCCACAGGUCCAUGUUGAACAUGCAGAAUGAGUGAGAAUAAACUUUUGCUGGAUUAAGUCA